UAAACAGUGGCUUAAACCCAAUAUGCAUAUGACAACAAUUAUGAGAGAUUAAAUUGUUUUACAAAGUCAGUUUAAAAUCCUAUCCACUUUAACGUACAAAAAUUGGUUAUAUUCAUACUUUAAUUUCAAUAAACUAUGACAUGAAGAUGGGAAAAAACUAAUACAAUGAACCACAUUAUACAAAUAAUAUCUAAUUAAUUCUAAACCCCUUUCUAUGAGCUUCUAUGGGAACAAGCUGUCUCUGGCUGACUGUCCUUCUUAUUUCCAAACCAUUUCUUGAUUCACAAAGGAAUAACCAUUGGGAUAUCCUCUUAAACCAAAUUGGCUAUGAACAGAGCAAUCAGUUAGGAUUAAAUUACCCUGCUAACAUUACUUGAAACAGAAAAUACCAAUCUCAGUAUUUAGUCGGCUAUCAGCAGUAAACAUUAAACUAUCCAUUAACAUCUAACCAGUUGAAUAUCUAACUUUAACCUACUGAUACUUUCAAAGCUUAACAAAGAGGGAAUCUCAGGCCAAUUCAGCAACUAUACAUACUAGGUUCAAACAGUUGAAUAUAAUUAUUAGAGGAUGAAUAGUAUCACAACUUUAACAUGGAAGACCAUUCAAAACGAACUUAAUAAUUGCACAUGAUGAGUCUAUGCAGUUAAACAUAAUUAAGACAUAAACAAAUCAAAUUUUUAAUACAGCAUUCAAACAAGAGUAAUAUGGAUGUGUAAACAUACCUAACUUGCAAAGGAAUAACAAAAAGUAAUCAAAUAAUGUUCUGAAAAAAGAAGAUGAAGUCCAACAACUCCAGGAACAGUAGUAUAUAUCUACCACAGCUUCAGUAUCAGUUCAUAACUUAGCUCACGAAACCAUAACUCAAAGAAAAUUCCUUCCAGAUUUUUGUAAAAGAAAGAAAAAUAGGAAAACUGGAAGCUGAAUUUUUUGUUUUAGUCGAUUUUCAGGUCUGUAUGCUGCUGAGUGUGUGUGUGAGAAUGAGUGAAUGACUUUCUUUUUAUAGUGUAUAUCCAAAAUAGCAUCAAAUAAAUAUUCUACCCUAAAUUCCUUAGAUAGUACAACAUAUUUAACAGAGAAUAAUGGACAACUGUCCAUUUUUCAGCAUAUUUUAAAUAAUUCUGGAUAGCUGGUAUACUUUUAGAACCUUCCUUCUCCUAGAUAUUUUCUUCUAAAAUUUCUGAAAAUCAUCAUAAGUUUUUUUUAGUUCAAUUAGACCCUUACAAGUUUCUAGUGAUAUUCAAAUCAAGCAAACAGGGACAGGGCCAACAAUUAACCGAAAUCAAAUCAAAACAACAAUCAAACAAUAAAAUAGUGCAAUUUAAUCCUACAAUAUUAAGCAUCAGAAAACCUAAAUUAAACUAAACCCUAACAUGAAUCAAAUUGAUGGAAUCGGCAGGAAUUUCAUGCAAUGAAACUACUAAAACAAGCCAAUUCAUAUUAAAAUAAUCAAGAUGAACAAACACAUAAAACUGGAACACUGAAAAUCCUAAAUCUUGUAAACUGAAUAAGAAAACAAUUAUGAAGAAGAAGAAAGGAAGAAUAACAAAAGAAAGAAUAUAAAAUACCACAAAGACUCGUUUGAGACAGUUACGAACUCGGAUUGGACUGAUUAUUACUACUGACUAACUUAUUGGCUAACAAGAACAAUAAACAAACGAAAAAUAAAAUAAUAAAAAACCUAAAUGAGGCAGUAGUCUAAUAAGUUGAUAAACAAACAACAAAUGUGGUUUUUUUUCUUUUAGUUUUCUUAAACAUGAUUUAGAAUACUAGACGAACAGGCAAGGACAAGGUUGUACCUAUUUGAGAAACAGAGAAAGAGCUGAGGUGGUUCUCUGCUUGGGCUUCGAUAUAGCCCAAAAUUAACCUCAAAUGAUUUUUCUUGUUAAGAACAAACCAUUUGGGGUGAGUUUCAAACUACUCGAACGAAAACAUCACGAAGGAAUGAAACAUGCAAGAAACAACUGCUUUUUUUUUAUUUUCAGAUUUGGUAUUUGACUGGUUUGAGGGGUAUUUGGAGAAAAUAAAUUAUGGAUUUGGAAAGGAGCGGUAAAGGGUGUUGUAGGGUGAAGAUAUGGAGGUGUUUGGAGACCAGCCGCUGCCGUGAAAUGAUUUCUGGCGGGCAGCGGCUAGGGUUUGGGCCGUGAAAUUGGGAGCAUUUGAGGGUGGCUAGGGUUAGGCUUUAGGUCAGAGACGGGGAAAUGGG
This 2203-nucleotide long non-coding RNA is filed under the name Nicotiana tabacum (common tobacco). Its description in RNAcentral is "long non-coding RNA (NTAB_LNC002408)". The record is from RNAcentral. Lineage: Eukaryota; Viridiplantae; Streptophyta; Magnoliopsida; Solanales; Solanaceae.